AUACUUAUUACCUGACAGGGGAGACAGCAUGAUCACAAAGUUGGUGUUCCCAAGGCAAGUCUUGCCCAUUGCACUGCGGAUUGUGCUGACUCCUAUGAUUUUCCCAUAUGUGGCAACUAACUGCAGAUUGCACUUGUGGGGUUAAAACAAAACAAAACAAAACAAAAAAAAACCCUA
Molecule: small nuclear RNA, 177 nt
Filed under: Camelus dromedarius (Arabian camel)
Lineage: Eukaryota; Metazoa; Chordata; Mammalia; Artiodactyla; Camelidae
Description: U1 spliceosomal RNA (ENSCDRG00005008975.1)
Rfam family: U1 spliceosomal RNA (bases 1-131)
About the family: U1 is a small nuclear RNA (snRNA) component of the spliceosome (involved in pre-mRNA splicing). Its 5' end forms complementary base pairs with the 5' splice junction, thus defining the 5' donor site of an intron.
Source: RNAcentral